Non-coding RNA from Vicia faba (fava bean), 228 nucleotides. The record is from the annotation of a GenBank genome assembly. Lineage: Eukaryota; Viridiplantae; Streptophyta; Magnoliopsida; Fabales; Fabaceae.
AUGGGAUCGGCUACACAGAUCAACUUUCGCGAUAAUGUUCUAUCCAGAACCAUGCUUCUCUCCAAAUCGUUAAUCUCUAGAUUUUUUUUAAUAACUUCUCCUAUAGCUUUUCUAGGUCUUUUCUACUCUAGCUCUUUGACUCCUCUCCAUUUGACUUACUAUCGUUACCAUAGAAUCUACCGGUCUUAUCUCUACUCUCCUAUACCAACAUUCCUUGAAAAUGAAUAA